RNAcentral lists this ribosomal RNA (713 nucleotides) under unidentified archaeon. Its description in RNAcentral is "bacterial SSU rRNA". It matches the Rfam family "Archaeal small subunit ribosomal RNA", at positions 1 to 721 of the family's 1478-position model. The record is from RNAcentral.
UCCGGUUGAUCCUGCCAGAGGUUACUGCUAUCGAGGUUCGACUAAGCCAUGCGAGUCGAAUGUAGCAGUACAUGGCGAACUGCUCAGUAACACGUGGACAACCUGCCCUUAGGUUGGGUAUAAACCCGGGAAACUGGGUAUAAUACCCGAUAGGUCUCGAUUGCUGGAAUGCAUCGAGAUUUAAAGCUCCGGCGCCUAAGGAUGGGUCUGCGGCCUAUCAGGUAGUAGUGGGUGUAGCGUACCUACUAGCCUACGACGGGUACGGGUUGUGAGAGCAAGAGCCCGGAGAUGGAUUCUGAGACACGAAUCCAGGCCCUACGGGGUGCAGCAGGCGCGAAAACUUUACAAUGCUGGCAACAGCGAUAAGGGAACCUCGAGUGCCAGGUUACAAAUCUGGCUGUCGAGAUGCCUAAAAAGCAUUUCAUAGCAAGGGCCGGGCAAGACCGGUGCCAGCCGCCGCGGUAACACCGGCGGCUCGAGUGGUAACCGUUAUUAUUGGGUCUAAAGGGUCUGUAGCCGGCCGGAUAAGUCUCUUGAGAAAUCUGGCAGCUUAACUGUCAGGCUUUCAGGAGAUACUGUCUGGCUCGAGGCCGGGGAGAGGUGAGAGGUACUUCAGGGGUAGGGGUGAAAUCUUGUAAUCCUUGAAGGACCACCAGUGGCGAAGGCGUCUCACCAGAACGGACCUGACGGCAAGGGACGAAGCUAGGGGCACG